This 1018-nucleotide unclassified non-coding RNA is filed under the name Hevea brasiliensis (rubber tree). The record is from RNAcentral. Lineage: Eukaryota; Viridiplantae; Streptophyta; Magnoliopsida; Malpighiales; Euphorbiaceae.
GACAGAUGAAACCGUUAAGCGUUUGGAUCAAUCAUAAACCAAACCAGUAAAACAUCGGCGCUAUCACCGUCAACUAUAAUGCAACUACUAUAGGAAAUACCUCAUACUACAAUUUUCCUGAAUGAUAGAAAAUACAUGCAUCAUGGGAUGGCAAAGAAAGGAAAUUCCUAACAGGAAAUAGACAGCUUCAUAGACGCUCCAUUUGGAAUGAUGAUAAUGGCAGAACUGGGAAUAGACUUGCUACUGGAAAUGUGAGAUUUUGAACAAGAUCUCCAGGUUUCCAGUUUUCCAACAUUUGGAAACCAGCUUUGUUUGAACAUGUUUUCUAAUUUUCUAUUGGAAAUACAGAAGAAUACUGGAAAGUUAAACCAGCAAAAACUGUAUCCUACGGCUAAACAUGGCCCUGACGAACAGUUCCUCUGCUUCUCAAAGUGCAUUGCCCCCAUUAAAAGAUAGGAUAAUCUACAUCAGAUCAUCCCCGAGCUUAUAACUAAACCCCCGCCAACAUCAACAUCAUUUUGGUCCCCAUCUGUUUUCUCCUUUAAUUUCCCAAGCAGAUUUCACUUAUCUCAACAUAACGACCAUAGCUGGAUGUGAUUUAUUGGCAAGCUGUUGAUUUCAAGCUGUGCAAAGGUGCAGAUAACAUUAUAACAUAUACUGGGGGAAAAGGGAAAAUGAGGACUGAUCUCCUUGCCAUCCUUGUCAACAUCAUCUAGUGCAACCCCUGCUUUAUGUGCUUCUCGCAAUUCGAUAUCAUCAGUUUGACAAGCUUUACAGUUCAACACCUACAUUCUUGCGCAUACAACUUUUAAGCAUAUGAAAUCUAAAAAUGCAGAGUAGAAGCCUUAAACUGAGAAAUAAAUAUGGAAAAGAAUACGAGAGCCAAAAGAAUGGAGAUUUGGAGCUAUGGACUAUUGUGCUAAACAAAUCUCAAACACGUGCAAGAGAAGUCCAAAAGAGCAAGCAUAAUAAGAUACUUAACCAGAGAAUGCAAAAUAAUAAUUAAAAAAAAACUAAA